UCGGGAAUUUUGGGCAAUGGGCGAAAGCCUGACCCAGCAACGCCGCGUGAGGGAUGAAGGCCCUCGGGUCGUAAACCUCUGUCGGGAGGGAAGAACGGUAGCCUUUCGAACAGGUAGGCUGCCUGACGGUACCUCCAAAGGAAGCACCGGCUAACUCCGUGCCAGCAGCCGCGGUAAUACGGAGGGUGCGAGCGUUGUUCGGAAUCAUUGGGCGUAAAGCGCGUGUAGGCGGCUUGGCAAGUCGGUUGUGAAAUCCCGGGGCCCAACCCCGGAACUGCAAUCGAAACUGCCUCGCUAGAGUCCCGGAGGGGAAGGCGGAAUUCCCGGUGUAGAGGUGAAAUUCGUAGAUAUCGGGAGGAACACCAGUGGCGAAGGCGGCCUUCUGGACGGUGACUGACGCUGAGACGCGAAAGCGUGGGGAGCAAACAGGAUUAGAUACCCCCGUAGUCC
This 450-nucleotide ribosomal RNA is filed under the name uncultured prokaryote. RNAcentral describes it as "bacterial SSU rRNA". It matches the Rfam family "Bacterial small subunit ribosomal RNA", at positions 355 to 796 of the family's 1533-position model. The record is from RNAcentral.